RNAcentral lists this ribosomal RNA (418 nucleotides) under Trioxys betulae. Its description in RNAcentral is "partial 16S ribosomal RNA". The record is from RNAcentral. Lineage: Eukaryota; Metazoa; Arthropoda; Insecta; Hymenoptera; Braconidae.
UUACGCUGUUAUCCCUAAGGUAAUUGGUUUAAAAUUCUUAAAUUUUAGGAUUAGUUAUUCAUUAAUUAAUGUUUUAUUACUUAAAAGUUUAUUUGAUUUUAAAAUUACCCCAAUUAAAUAUAUAUACUAAUUUAAGAAAUUAAUUUAUUAUAGUUUAUUUAGAUUUAUAUAUAAAAUUCUAAAGGGUCUUCUCGUCUUUUAAAUAAAUUUAAGAAUUUUAACUUAAAUUUUAAUUUUAAUUGUUAUUUUAAUUUAUAUAGCUUAUAUUUCAUUAAAUCUAAAUUACUAGAUUUAAUUAUAAAAUCUAAUAAUUAUGCUACCUUUGUACAGUUAUUUAUACUGCAGCCUUUUAAACUUAUCAAUGGGCAGACUUGACUUAAUAUUAUAUGCAAUAAGACAUGUUUUUGUUAAACAGGCG